RNAcentral lists this long non-coding RNA (1278 nucleotides) under Numida meleagris (helmeted guineafowl). RNAcentral describes it as "lncRNA (ENSNMEG00000023062.1)". The record is from RNAcentral. Lineage: Eukaryota; Metazoa; Chordata; Aves; Galliformes; Numididae.
CCUCCCACAGCUGGAAGGCAGUUCUGUCCUAAUUUGUUUGUUCCUUGGUGCACACCUGUGUGUUUGCUGCAGUUAAAAAGUUUGGUUUGCACAGGCCUGGCAUACCAGGAGGUCUGCAAAGCUCUGUGGGACCUCCUGCUGAAUUGCCCUGCCAGCUUUUGUGUCUCCUGCAAACCUUAGAGGCAUUUUUUUAUUCUUUUAUUCUGCCUUCCUGAACAGUGCUGGAAGCACUGGAGGACGUCAGGUAAUGCCUGUCCCCCUGGAGCCCUGCAGAAACCUCUUUGGAUGCUAAUUCCCCCGCUCUACCAUCUGUCCGGUUUUGAUUUCAGCUCUUUGACUUCUUCCCCCCUUUCUCAAUCUCAGAUUGGUGACUGCUUCGCAGCAAUUGUGGAGGAAAUGAGAUGGGGUGAGAAGGUCUGGGUACUGAGAGGGGUUAAUGGGGAAAAUGUUAUUUUUACAGGUGCUGUGCACGGUGUCUGUGUGCAUGUAUACAUAUUACAAUGCAGAGCAUAAAAGCCUGAAGUCUCCUUUAGCACAGCCUGUAAUCCUAUUAGAAGGAUUACUCUGUUGUCCUAGGCUAUCAGAUCGUGUGGCAGUCAGUUCUAGUGCGUGUCUUCCUCGGAACUCCAGGGGAGCCAGGUAUUUAGCAGGGGAGUGCUUAAAUGGGGUGUCCAAACAAAGCAACUGGACACGCAGCAUCGUUACACAGACAGCUCACUUCAUCAGCACCAGAACAACCAAACACUUGUCUUAUUGCUUCUAUCUGACCCCACUCUGCCUUUAAAAGUCAACAAACCAGCAAGCUUCUGUGACACCGCCAGUGCUGCUACUGGUAAGAAAACAGGAUAACCAGGCUGGUUUUCCUCUUCCCCCCCCCCCCCCCCAUAUGAGGAACUCAGAACGCGUUUGUAGUUCUGUAACUCAUGUAACACAACAUGGAAGAGCUGGAAGUAUGGCUCCAAGCAGGGAAGCAACAGUUGAGCUCCUCAGAGUCUGAAUUGUUCUAUGAUUCUAACCCAGUGAGAUGCAUUUCUGAGAGUUGUUCUUCUAGGGACCUUGAAAGCCGUUGGAAAGGGACUACAGGGCUAGAUCCCUUCUGUGCUUGGAGCAGAGGAUGUCUCCAUAGGAUGUAAGGGGUUGAUAACUGCUAAAGCCUUUGAUGCUUAUUGCACACCAACUUUGGGGCUGUAGUUGCAGCAAAUAAGGGUUAAAGCCAUUGGUAAGAUCCCAGGUUCUUUGGUGCUCAGUUCCUUAUGCAGAUGGAGAAAGUUUUGGCAG